AUGGAGUUUCGCCGGCGUUCCGCCCGGCUGCGCGCCGGAGCGGACCGCAUCAGCGCCCUCCCCGACGACCUGCUCCUCCUCGUCCUCGCCCGCCUCCGCUGCGCCCGCGCCGCCGCGCGCACGGGGCUAAUCUCGCGCCGGUGGCGCGGCCUCGCGGCCCGCCUCCGCGAGAUCGUCUUCCGCGGCGUCCCCCUCCACAGGAUCGAAGCCGCGCUCGGCCGCCUGUCUCCCGCGGUUUCGCUCCUCGAGAUCCGCGUCCCCAAGGAGCGCCGCGCCGACACCGCCCGCGGCAAGUUGCUGCUCCGCGUCGGCCCCGCCCGCGGCAACUCGCUGCUCCGCGUCGGCACCACCCGCGCCAACUCGCUGCUCCGCGCCGCCGCGCGCCUCGAGCCGGAGGAGCUCGUCUUCGACCUCCCCUCCGAUCUGAUCGACGGCUCUCUCGUCGUCGACCUGCCCUGCCUGCGCCGCGCCACCUUCAUCGCGCUGCGAAUCUUCCUCCUCAUCCUCCGCGUGCCGGACGGCGCCGAGUUCCCGGCGCUCGAGUCACUGUCCCUGUCGUGCGGCAUCGCGCACGCCCACCUCGACGCCCUGCUCCGCCACUGCCCGCGCCUGCGCACGCUCCGGCUCGGCGGCUUCCUGUUCGACCAAGGCGACCUGAGGGUCAACUCGGCGUCGCUGCAGGAGCUGGCCGUGGACCGCGAGAGCGGGCUGACACACCGCGUCGACAUCGUCGCCCCCGCGCUCAAGCAAUUGUCCAUGUCCUUGAUAGCCACGGAGGUCAGCAUCUCCGUCUUGGCUCCAAUGGUGGAGAAGGUCUCGUGGCACUGCUGCUACAGGGCAGGGUCUAUUACCUUUGGUCUUUGGGAGCUUGAGCAGGUGACGCUGGAGACGUCAGAGAGCCAAGGGCAGCUCCCUUCGCUGCAGAUUCAUGCCUCCAUAUUCCGGUCAAAUUUUCCCGGCGGAGCGAUCAGCUUCACGCAAGAGAUAGCGAAGCAUAUGGUUGUUGCCUUCUCUGCUCUGGAGCUUCAUCUCAAAACAGCCGGGCACGUUUUUGGAGCAAUUGUGUUUCUUCUCCUUGGAAUGAAUCGGAUUCGUCCAGCUGUGCGGAGGCUUAAGCUCGUCCUAUGGAGAACAACGGUGAGAGAAAGAUGCCUACCAAAUUGUCCAUGUCAGCCCUUGGACUGGAGAUCGCAAACUGUCUCCUUCACUCAUCUCGAAGAAGUGGAGAUCACUGGCUUUGAAGGGGUGGGUCAUGAGUUUGAUUUCUUAAAAUUGAUGCUCGGGUGUUCACCGGCACUUAAAAAAAUGACUUUGAAGCUGUCACGUGAUGUGUGGUCGAGGAAAGAUGGAUGCACAAUAAUAAACGACAUCUUCAAGGCGUAUCCAUCCGUGCAAUGCUAUGUUUAUCUUUCCUAUGGGUUCAUCCAUGGCUACCAAAAUUAUCACUGA
This 1449-nucleotide ribosomal RNA is filed under the name Triticum aestivum (bread wheat). Its description in RNAcentral is "partial small subunit ribosomal RNA". Lineage: Eukaryota; Viridiplantae; Streptophyta; Magnoliopsida; Poales; Poaceae. The record is from RNAcentral.